AGAAUCAACGCUGGCGGCGUGCCUCAGACAUGCAAGUCGAACGAUUAAAGCUCUCUUCGGAGAGUGUAUAGAGUGGCGCACGGGUGAGUAACACGUAAGUAAUCUACCUUUGAGUGGGGAAUAACAUCGGGAAACCGAUGCUAAUACCGCAUAAUGCAGCGGCAUCGCAAGAUGACAG
This 178-nucleotide ribosomal RNA is filed under the name uncultured soil bacterium. RNAcentral describes it as "partial 16S ribosomal RNA". It matches the Rfam family "Bacterial small subunit ribosomal RNA", at positions 26 to 197 of the family's 1533-position model. The record is from RNAcentral.